Molecule: long non-coding RNA, 2014 nt
Organism: Syngnathus typhle (broad-nosed pipefish)
Lineage: Eukaryota; Metazoa; Chordata; Actinopteri; Syngnathiformes; Syngnathidae
Exons: 2
Source: RefSeq, a predicted model, not a curated record
GAGUGCUAAUGGGACGUCGAACGCUUCCCUUGAUUUCAUUUGUGUGGCGGGCUCCAUCUAGUGUUGAAACUGAGAAGUGCAACAGAGUUGAGGUCAAGCUUCUUGUGCGGGCCAUAUUCAAUUAUGUUUUCAGAAUUUGCUGCGGGCCAAUAAAAACUGGACCCCUGCACUAGACGCAUCAUAACAACCCGACUUGGUCUUAUGAAGUCAGACACACGAGUCAGGAAGAUGAGAAAGAAAAUGUGAGAGAAAAAUACAUAAACAAAAAACGAAAUACAUACAUACAUAGUAUAUACAUACAUAUAAAUUUCGUUGUACAUGUGACAAUGACAAAUAAAGAUCUAUUCUAUUCUAUAUAGACAGACAGACAUCGAACGAUCGCCCAUUCGGUUACUCAGUCAUUUGGUCUCAGUCAUUCUGUCACUCGGUCACUCGGUCACUCAGUCAUUCAGUCAGUCAAUCAAUCAAUCAGUCACUCAGUCAAUCAGUCGAUUAAUAAAUCAAUCCAUCCAUCCAUCCAUCCAUCCAUCCAUCCAUCCAUCCAUCCAUCCAUCCAUCCAUCCAUCCAUCCAUCCAUCCAUCCAUCCAUCAAUCCCACUCACUCACAAGUGUUAACUAAUUUGUAAUUGUAUUGCAACCAGUUUAAACUCUAAUGGAAUAUGUGGAUGUCCAUAUCAGUUUUAUCAAAUUCUAAUCCUACAUUACCUUUGUAUAGGGCACAGGUGUCAAACUCAAGGCCCGGGGGCCAGAUGCAGCCUGCCACAUCAUUUUAUGUGGCCCGCGAAGACAAAUUGUGCUUCAUAUUCAUGUGUCAUUACUCGAAUCUUCACUUUUAAUAUUUUAUUUUUAAAUAUUAGACCAGUUUUUACUUGUCUGAUUUAAAAACGAGUUACUUGUCAGUUUGUUUUGUAGCUUUUACUGUAUAUAAUAUGAGGUGCUCACACAUUUAUUUGGGGUGACAGUCAUACCUCCGAAAGAAGCUAUGACUACCCUGCGGCCCGUGAAAAAAUGAGUUUGACACCCCUGGUAUAAGGGAUAGUGUUAGAAUAAUUAGUUUUGCUGAAGCGCUGGUCGGCCUGAAACCGGAGGUCACAUAUCUUCGCUCAAGCCAACAUAUCUGCCAGCCAGCCUUAUACUCCCUUCCUUGUCUUAUCUGUGAGAGGCCCUCACUAGUUAUGAACAGAACACCUUUGUUCUUUGUUAGUUUAAGAGAAGUCCUUUCUCCUUUGAUUGUUUUUGUCCAAGACAGUUUUUUAGUUAUCCCAUAUUUACUCAUAUUUGUUUAAGUAGACUUCAUGCAAGUUAUCUCACAUCUACUUAACGUUUAUUGGAGUGUAUGCCAAUACACCUGAGGAUUCCAGCGGGCGUCAGCAGAGAUCCAGAAAGACCGCGCGCGGCAGGACCUCCCUAGGUGGGGUCCUAGAAUCCUUUUCAAGGGCUGGCUCGUCAGCUGGGAUCUAAAUGUUGAAGGCAAUCCGAGGUGCAGAGGUGAAGAGAACCAGAGGGAUGCUUGGUCUCCAUGUGUUGAAGCAGUUUUGAAUGCUUCAUUGCCUGGUUAGUUAGCGUGUCGCCACAUAUUAGCUUUGCGGGCUCGACUGGGAAAACAUGUCACGUGACCGGGACGAGUGUCUUGACCUGAAUUAAUUGAUCGUCGAUCUUUUUUUUUUUUUUUUCUGUGCGGCUUGGCGGCCCGGUACCAAGUGACCCACGGAGCGGUACCGGUCCGCGGCCUGGUGAUUGGGGACCACUGGUCUACAGGACGUGGACAAUGGAGGUUGUAAGGAGAGCAUUAGAAGGGGUGGUUCCUUGUAAAGAAGACGUGGAACAAUUCUGUGCAGGUAUGGAAGACUUGAGGAGAUCUUACAAUCUGAAUGGGACUGAAGUCCAACAAAUUUGGAUGACUGCUUUGGGUCCAGAUUGGCACCUAGUCAAAGGGGACUGGGCACCCAUUAAUGCCCGGGAUUACCGUGUAUAGUGCGCCCCCAUGUAUAAUACGCACCCUAAAAGUGGCAUG